This 84-nucleotide ribosomal RNA is filed under the name Mammaliicoccus sciuri. RNAcentral's name for it is "Staphylococcus sciuri partial 16S ribosomal RNA". It matches the Rfam family "Bacterial small subunit ribosomal RNA", at positions 1 to 82 of the family's 1533-position model. RNAcentral also lists the same sequence under 1 other name. The record is from RNAcentral. Lineage: Bacteria; Bacillati; Bacillota; Bacilli; Caryophanales; Staphylococcaceae.
CUUUUAUGGAGAGUUUGAUCCUGGCUCAGGAUGAACGCUGGCGGCGUGCCUAAUACAUGCAAGUCGAGCGAACAGAUGAGAAGC